GUUCCUGAGACUGACCUCAAACUUGUGACUCUCCUGUCUCUGCCUCCUGAGUCCCUGGGUUUAUAGAAGUAAUAAAAAGAAGAAAAGAGGGGAAGCUGAAUCCCACUAAAGAAUUCUAACAGAAGAUGAAUCACAGAAAGGAGAAUUGGUGGAGACAGCUGGAAAGAGGAAAGGUGGGCAGACCAAAUCUCUAAGACUUAUGGGAAGAAAGGAUUGUAUUGAAAGCUGAUGGCCAGAUAAAGAAGAUGAUCCAAGAGGGAGGUUAUGCUUCUGCCCUGGGAAUGACAUAAUAAAAAUGUUCAUGUGCUUCUUAAACUCAUGACUAAUCUCUGCUUGAUGCCUGAUGCCUGAGAGUGAUUGUAAUUUCUUAUGCUUUUUAUGCAUUAAAAAGACAACAUCUA
Molecule: non-coding RNA, 401 nt
Organism: Ictidomys tridecemlineatus (thirteen-lined ground squirrel)
Lineage: Eukaryota; Metazoa; Chordata; Mammalia; Rodentia; Sciuridae
Source: RefSeq, a predicted model, not a curated record